GAUGAACGCUAGCGGGAGGCCUAACACAUGCAAGCCGAGCGGUAGAGUUUCUUCGGAAUCUUGAGAGCGGCGCACGGGUGCGUAACACGUGUGCAACCUACCUUUAUCUGGGGGAUAGCCUUUCGAAAGGAAGAUUAAUACCCCAUCAUAUAAUGAUUGGCAUCCAUUAUUAUUGAAAACUCCGGUGGAUAGAGAUGGGCACGCGCAAGAUUAGAUAGUUGGUGAGGUAACGGCUCACCAAGUCAAUGAUCUUUAGGGGUCCUGAGAGGGAGAUCCCCCACACUGGUACUGAGACACGGACCAGACUCCUACGGGAGGCAGCAGUGAGGAAGAUUGGACAAUGGGUGAGAGCCUGAUCCAGCCAUCCCGCGUGAAGGAUGACGGUCCUAUAGAUUGUAAACUUCUUUUGUACAGGGAUAAACCUACCCUCGGGAGGGUAGCUGAAGGUACUGUACGAAUAAGCACCGGCUAACUCCGUG
Molecule: ribosomal RNA, 479 nt
Filed under: uncultured bacterium
Lineage: Bacteria
Description: partial 16S ribosomal RNA
Rfam family: Bacterial small subunit ribosomal RNA
Source: RNAcentral